This 149-nucleotide small RNA is filed under the name Callithrix jacchus (white-tufted-ear marmoset). RNAcentral describes it as "Metazoan signal recognition particle RNA (ENSCJAG00000085021.1)". The record is from Rfam by way of RNAcentral. Lineage: Eukaryota; Metazoa; Chordata; Mammalia; Primates; Cebidae.
GCUGGGCAUGGUGGCGCAUGCCUGUAAUCCCAGCUACUCGGGAGGCUGAGGCGGGAGAAUUGCUUGAACCCAGGAGGCGGAGGUUGCAGUGAGCUGAGAUCGCGCCAUUGCACUCCAGCCUGGGUAACAAGAGCGAAACUCUGUCUCAC